RNAcentral lists this transfer RNA (88 nucleotides) under Phycisphaera sp. Its description in RNAcentral is "tRNA-Ser". It matches the Rfam family "tRNA". From Rfam's summary of the family: Transfer RNA (tRNA) molecules are approximately 80 nucleotides in length. Lineage: Bacteria; Pseudomonadati; Planctomycetota; Phycisphaerae; Phycisphaerales; Phycisphaeraceae. RNAcentral also lists the same sequence under 1 other name. The record is from RNAcentral.
GGUGGGAUGGCGGAGCGGCUGAACGCGCCGGUCUUGAAAACCGGUUUCGGGCUCGUCCCGAACGUGGGUUCGAAUCCCACUCCCACCG